AGAGUUGCCCUUCCCUUUUCUAGAGGGAGGGGAGAGAAGAUGCUGGGGAAGGUGCAGAUUGGUACUUUUGAUGAGUCAUCUUCAAACAGGCAUCAAAGAUUCAGUGUACAGGCAGCAACCUCUGGGGGUGAGGGCACUGCAUCGGGCAGGGUGUGGUGGUUGGGGGAUGCAAUUGGAAAGCAGUUUUAAAAAACAAACCAAAACCCACCAGACCCCAUGCUUUUCCUCUAAGCACUUAGCUGUGCUUUGCACCACCAUGUUGUAAGGUUACCACAAUAAAAGGAAGCCUUUUAGUUCCAACUGCUGCCCUUCCUGUAGUGUGGUACGUUGUCUGCAGGAAGCCAUGCAGUGCUGCUCUUACUCAGAAGAGGAUCUGCAUCACCCAGUGCUUAAAAUGGAUUGUCAAGUAACCUGAUAGGAGUUGGUAUUGAACACUUCAUCCAAAUAUGUUGAAGUACAUAUGACGCAGCACUGGAAUAUUCCUGCCUCUCUUAAUUGUAUAUAAAAUGUUUUUCUUCAAGCUUGCCAGUUCAGUGGCAUUUUCUAAAAUGCUCUGGACUGAUUAAAAAUACAUGUGGGUUUACUUCCAGACCAGCCUUUUUUUCUACGAAGACAGCAGGAAAAGACUUUUCAUUUAGGUGUGGUGAUAGCCUAUCUGCCAUUCUUUCCUUCCAUCUGCUAGGCGCCUGAAAGCAUAGGUAACAUUAAGAAUAGUUACCAACCAUGGCAUGGUACUCAGAAAGAAGAGUCUUUUCCAGAUCUUCCCUAACUGAAUAGCUCCUCCUGCCUGAUUUUCUUAGUUGAUUUUUUGAACACUUGGGAGUCAUACCUGCUUUUCACCUUGCUCUUAAAUCUCAAGAAAGGUUUGCUGUAUUGUCCAGAUGAAACCUGCCUGGAUAUAUGUACAAAUCACAGCUUGCAAACCAGUGAAGAAUUUGCUCAUUUUGCAACCAUACCAGCUUAUUACCAAUGCCAUUGCUGUCUGCAGUCUUUGAAUGUUUGUUUUUCCUCUUCUGUUGCUGCUGGUAAUCCCCAUGUUGAGUGGAUGCUGCAAGCUUGUUGCCCUGGACUUGAGUGACAGAGCAUACUGUGUUAUCAACAACACAGAGUUAAAGCAGAACUCAAGUAAAUGCAGAAGCUCUUGUUUAUGACCUCUAAGAAGAAUGUUAAGGAGACAUCUCAGGGAAGCAGAAACUUCUUGCUCCACCAAGUCUACUUCAUUAUAUGCGAUUAUUUUCCCCCCAACUCUGUCUUUCCAGGUCCUGUUGAAAGCCAAGAUUAAAAGGUGUGUGUGGAUGGGCGUUAACCAUCUGUUCCCAGUGACACUAAAUUCCCUAGUGAAUUCCAGUCUUUAUCUCUGUAGAUUUCUGAAAAGCAGAGAUGCAGCCACUUAAUGCUAAACCUUCAGCCACUAAAGCAAUCCUGAUUGUAUCAAAUGCUAUGCUUCCUAUUGGCUGUAAUGUGAUUCAACCCCGAUUUGUAGCUAUGUACAAUGUGGUGUUGCUAUACCACUUCUUAAACCUACGUUAACCUUUCCCACCAACUUUGGGCAAGGAGGUGAGGGUGGUUUUGCUGUGUAGCUGUAAUCUUGGACUUGUUAAUUGAGACAGUGUUCCUCUUCCUUCCCAGGUAUGAUAAAAGACGUUUCAGACCACA
Molecule: long non-coding RNA, 1656 nt
Organism: Pezoporus flaviventris
Lineage: Eukaryota; Metazoa; Chordata; Aves; Psittaciformes; Psittacidae
Exons: 2
Source: RefSeq, a predicted model, not a curated record